RNAcentral lists this ribosomal RNA (234 nucleotides) under uncultured bacterium. Its description in RNAcentral is "partial 16S ribosomal RNA". It matches the Rfam family "Bacterial small subunit ribosomal RNA", at positions 97 to 334 of the family's 1533-position model. The record is from RNAcentral.
GGCGGACGGGUGAGUAACGCGUGGGAAUCUGCCUACUAGCGGGGGAUAGCCCGGAGAAAUCCGGAUUAAUACCGCAUAAGCCCUACGGGGGAAAGCUGGGGAUCUUCGGACCUGGCACUAGUAGAUGAGCCCGCGUUAGAUUAGCUUGUUGGUGGGGUAAUGGCCUACCAAGGCAACGAUCUAUAGCUGGUCUGAGAGGACGAUCAGCCACACUGGGACCGAGACACGGCCCAG